AUGGGUGGCACCCGCCGACGAGGUCUGCCCGCUGCCCCUCCCUGCAACUUGAGCUUCACACGGGCCCUCUUCUGGAGGGUGACCCUCUUGAUCGCCAGCAGCUGCUUGGUGGAGCUGUCGCCGACCACCAGCCACUACGCCUUCCUCCUUGGUCUUAGGGAACCUGGGGGCGUGAACCGGGCCGACCUCGGAGUUGGGCUUUAUGUCAUCGCCCUUAUGAUAUCGCCCUCACGGACCUCUUUAGAGCUUUUUCAGUGUCGUUUGGGCAGACUGUAA
Molecule: ribosomal RNA, 276 nt
Filed under: Triticum aestivum (bread wheat)
Lineage: Eukaryota; Viridiplantae; Streptophyta; Magnoliopsida; Poales; Poaceae
Description: partial small subunit ribosomal RNA
Source: RNAcentral